GAGACCCCAACUGAGAUCUGGGCCCUGUUAUGCCAGGCGCUGAAGAGACCCCAGGCUACAGCAUAACAUCCACGUUUCGCCCCAAAUCAUCCCCUCCUCCCAGCAGGAAGGAAAUGGCUGCAAUGGAGCUGGCUCAGGAGGCACCACAAAAGCAUCUGGCCCCUCUGGGAAAAGAGAGAG
This is a long non-coding RNA of Mauremys mutica (yellowpond turtle), 180 nucleotides long. RefSeq lists it as uncharacterized. The record is from RefSeq and is a predicted model, not a curated record. The transcript has 3 exons. NCBI's taxonomy places the organism in Eukaryota, Metazoa, Chordata, Testudines, Geoemydidae.